UUUAUUUUUGUUGGUUUGAUUUUUUUUCAAACUUAUUAUUAUUAUUAAACUAUCAUUUUGAAAAUGUCCUUCUUCCCUUCUUUAUUUAAAAUUAUUUUCUUCCUAUUGCAAGGAGAGCUGAACAAGUAAAUUAGACCAUAUUUUUAUGUUAAAUAAUAACUCAUUUGACUACAAUUAUGUAAAGUAUAUUUAUGUCUGGUAGGCUUGCAUAUGAAAAUGUCGAAACGUCACACCCAAACUUUAUGACUUAAAAUGAAAGACAACUAUCUAAACUAGAUACGAGACAUAAAAAAUAAGAUAAACUAGGAAUAUUCGAAGCAUACAACCAUAGGCAAACACAUUUUGAACAAAUAUGACCGUAACACACUAGGACUGUGUUUUUUCCAAAUUUUUUUGUCAUCUAAUGCAAUUUUCCGACAAUUAAUUUAAUUGUUUUUAAAAAAUAGUACCCCUAAACCAAACACAACAAUGAUGCAUCACUUAACAUGAAGAACAUCAUUUAAAGUAAAGUUUAAUCUAAAAACUGAAUCAUGCUUCUAUAUACAUUACAAACAUCCCAACCUUUACCUAGUUCUUCCAUGAAGUUUAUAACAAAGACAACAUCAAAUACAGAUUUCGGCUAUUUGGAUGUACGUGCACAAACAAGAUUUCCACUCCCUUCGGAGGCAUUACAUAAAAAUGAAACGAUACAAAAAGAUUAGCAUAGCUUCUACACAAGGAUACCAUUUCAACGAGAUGUCUACCAUGCUGAGGGAAAUCGAAUCCACUGUGUAAGCAGUCCCUGUUCAACUUACUAACUAAACAAGGAAUUCAGCAUCAGAAACUUCAAGAACCUUGUGGAAACCUAUUGGCUUCACACCUUGCCGAAAUGCAUUUCCUUCAAUGUACCUAUCAACAGCAAGACCUUGGAGAAACAUAUCUACAGAAUGAAAAUUGAUAUGAAGUUCGAAUGUAGAAUUAACUCACAUCUCUUUUAAGAAUGGGUGUUUAUAGAAGGCAUCAGGGAUUCUUCCACUAAAUUGGUUGUGAUCCAAGUACCUAGAAUUAAAAUUUUCACAGUUGGUAAACAAAAUUUAAUGGAAAACAAAACACAAAUGAUACGAAGAUACUUGCAAAGACACUGACUUUGUAAAGAAGAAAAAAAAUAACUGACAUGUAUAACAAUAAAUGACGAUCGUGGAAAGAUUUAUAACAGAAGAGUGGUCUGUACUUUGUUGAAUUCUUUUAUUGACGUAAGGAAGCAAAUCAAUCUUCAUGAUCUUCACAAUUGAAUACGUCUAAUAGGUUUCAUCCAUACUUAUUAUUUUGGGAAACAAUUUAUGAAGAACUGUAUUCUUUAUUAUCGCAAGUUGUUAGUUGAAAGAAAGAGAAAAAUUUGCACUCGAUAACUUCUUUAGAGUUGCAAGCUGAGAAAUGUCAUAGAUUAAACCAAAUACAACUGAAGAAGGAUAAAAAAAAGACUUACAGAUAGGUCAACUUAGGUAUAUGAGCAACCCCAGGUGGUAUUAUCCCAGACAUCUUGUUGUAGGAGAGGUACCUAAACCAAACAAACAAAACAAAAUGUUUAGAUAAAACUGAUGUAAUAUACUUGAGAACAAAAGCGCGAAUUUUUAGAUAACCAAAUUACAGAAUUUCCAAGUUAGUCAGGUUUGCAAGCUGUGAUGGAACUCCUCCCGUAAAAUAAUUAUUGUUGAUGUACCUACAUGGAAAAUAGAAAUAAACUAGCUGAUGAAGUAUUUAAGGAAACAAAAUUGAAUAUGACACGCCCUGACUUCAAUUAACUUACAGGUUGCGGAGUGAUGGAAAACAGCCCUCAAGGCGAAUCAGCUCCCUUAUGGUUCCUACUAAAUGGUUGUUGCCAAGAUCCCUUUACAAAAUCCAAAUGACAGGUCAAACAUUAAAAAGCGAUGCAUAACUUUCGAUAAAGAAAAGAAAAUGUCCAAAGAACAGAAGUUUACAGUUGCCGAAGAUUGGGUAGGGUGCCCAGUUCAGGAGGAAUUUUCCCUGAAAGGCGAUUUUCAUUUAAAUGGAGAUAGCGGAGCUCCCGUAGAGUAACAAGUUCUUUGGGGAUUUCUCCUUUGAAAUUAUUGAAACCCAAAUAUCUGCAUAAGCUCAAAAUUGCAACAGAAAUGAAUAGAUUAAAAUGCAAGAAAUUGGUAAAACAAUUUAUACCCGAAAUUAAAAUUACUUACAAAUGAGUUAGGCCCUUUAGUGCACCAAUCUCAGGAGGGAUGACAUCUUGAAGUUUAUUCCACCUUAAAUUCCUGUGAACGGAAUUUUGCAAAACUAUAAUUAAAAUAAUACAUCAACAAAUGGUCAGCAACGACCAAACUUUUGAACCAUAAUCUUCAUGACAUGCACGUAAUUGCUUGUUAAUUGUUAUUGACAUUCGGUUUAGCAAGCUAUUCUUUUUCUUGAAAAAGGAAACCAUAUUGGAACUGUUUUUUUUUUCUCUUUUUUUUAUUUCCUAAAAUAAUAUGCCAUCUACAGAAACAUUGGACUUUGAACUCUUUUAAAAUAAACAGGAAUCAGAAAAAAUCACAGGAAAAAAGUGCAAGGGAUGUACAGUAUUUUGAGACGUCUUAACCGUCCAAUUUGAGGAGGAAUUGGUCCAGUCAACUUGUUAUUAUGAAGAUCCCUGUUAUAAGAACAAACACAGGCAUACACAUCGUAAGCAUUUGAAGAGAUAGGAGUCCAUUCUCCCCUUCACCAUCUUUCAUUUAAAUCCUAACAAAAAGUUGAUGAAUCUAAAAUAAGUUACAUUAGAUGUGAUUUUAGGCAAGAGAUGUUUAUAUAACUGCAAUAAUGAUAAUAACCAUAUACUGAAUCAUUGACUGUGAUGGAUGAAAAUGCAACAAUUGUCUACUAACAAAACUACUUUGUACAUCAGAAGGCCACAGUUCGAAUCAGAGUAACGAAGAGUAGAAUUUUAAUUGAUCGUGGAGCAAGGAUGACUUACAAUACACUGUCACGUAUUUAAAUAGCCUCAAAGGAUUCUACUCGUCACUCGGUGGGAAUUGCAUUAGAAUAAAAUUUCUGUUUAAAAGACUAAUCAUUUGCUGAUUGAGGAACGGGCGAUUCAUGGUAGGUAGAUUGAGCAUAAUGAGAUUUGGUUAGAUUUCACAUGUCCCUUUGGGCUUCGAUUUUGAAAACCUUUUGUAAUUAUUCCAUUGAUAAUAUUUUACUUAGUUGGUCCCGUGUUUUGGUGGGCUUGUUUUUUUUUGUAUGCCCUUUAUUCUUUCAUUUUUUCCUUAUGAAAGUUGUUAUUAUAGAGAGAAAAAAAAAACUAUAACCAUUUGCUAACAUCUUUCUUUAUUUUCAAUCGACUUUCAAAUUUGUUUUCAAAAUUGUAGCCAAAUUUUAAGAACUAAAAUAAAUAGUUUUUAAAAAAACUGUUUUUUAUUUACGAAAAUUUGGCUACGAUUUCAAGACUGUUUUUUGAAAAUUUAAAACUAAACAAAGAAAGCAUUAUAUCUGCAGUUUUUUAGAAUAUUAACUGGAAACGGAAUUCUCAUUAUCAGAAAACAUAAACAAUGUAAGAUUAAUGAAAAAAUAAACGAAAUCAUAUCCCUAAACUGCCCAGGAAUUAUCAUAUUUUCUUCGGAAAUUUUCAACGACAAUGGCGAAAUUACCAGUCUAUCUCCCCAUUCAUUAUUUCAUCGGUACAUGAAAAUGAUAAAAUGAAGAUUAAGGAAAGAAGAAAUCUCACAGCCUAGUAAGGUCCAAGAGAUUGGUAACCGCAACAGGAAAAGGUCCAACAAUAGAAACCGCAUAGACUUCUCUGCAAAGAAAUGAUGACAAACAAAAAUGAAACUAGUCCUGAAACAAAACUUGUCGAGAAGUAGCUGAACAUUUCAGUAGUUAAAUUACAAGGAAGAGAAGAAAAAUUGGAAAUUACAAUUCAGUGACGACUCUGUAAUCUCCUUGAGUGGAACAGGUAACGCCGGACCAGGGUGGAAGGUGAGAAGCACCACAGGGAUCAUCUCCUACCCAGGAAUACACCACUCUCCAGCCGAGAGAGGCUUUGAUUUCAGUCAAAGCUUUCACUGCAAGAAAACAAAAACCCUAGUGUUAAACUCAACGGAAUUUAGCUUGAUAAGAGUGGGAAAGAAGAAGGAGAAGAGAAAGUACCAUCCCGCUUCAAGGUUUUGCAGAGAACAGAUUGAUGAGGAAGAGCAAAAAGGAAGAGGAUGAAGGAGAACGGUAUGAAUGGAAAUUGGUGCCCCAUUUUCAGUUCCUAUUCUCCCCCUGCCAUGGCUCUUCUCCAUUGUUUUGUUAAUUUUAUUAAUUGCAAGUUCCACUAGUGGCUUUUGUAAAACGUGUUUAUUUUCUAUUUGGUCUCCAAAAUUUGGAAGGUCACAUUUUGAUAUUUUUGUUAGAUCAUGUUUAGGCCCUUUAACAAUUAAUGAUUUGCUUCAAAAACAAAUAAAUGUUAAUUUUUGAGAUAAAGGACACUUGCAAAAAUCACAAAAUAAGUUAUAAUAAUUAAGUUCAUAUCACACGCAUUUUAUUAUUUGUGAAAAUGGCAAAAACGAAAUCCAACCUAUAGGUAAAAUGUCACAAAUACCCUCAUUACUAAUAUACGUUUGAUACACCUUAUAUACGUCUGAUACACAUAAUACACGUCUGAUACACCUAAUACACCCCUUGAUACACCUUAUACUUCUUGAUACACCUGAUACUUCUUGAUACACCCGAUACAUUUGAUUGAUAAACUUGAUACACCUGAUACUCUUUGAUACACUCAUACCGAAACAUACUAAUAUAUGUUUGAUACACCCGAUACACUGCAUAUACAUUUAGUAUUCUUCACUUAUACAAUUGAUUGAUUAAAUGCACUUGAUAUGCUUGAAGUCCUACUUAUACACUUGAUAUACACUUGUAAACUCGAUUCAUAUAAUUUAUAAUAAUUCAUUUUGCUGAUAUGUUUUAACAAUAUACUGUUGAUAUAUUUGAUAAUUAUACACUGAGUUACAUCAUUCAUAUACUUAAUAAUAUUCUAAUGAACUAAAUAAAAUUUGAAAAAAUGAAAAUCACGUAGUAAGUAUAUUAACCAACUAAUACAUAUAAUAUAAGUAGAUCACAACACUGACAUACGAAACUGAGACAAAGUAAAACCAAAAAAUUAAUGUAAAAAAGUAAAACAAAAUCAUUUGGAAUCAAAUUCAACUCAAAAUACACAUAGAAGAAAAUAAAAAAAAAUUACAAAUGAAGUUAAAUUACUCCAAUCAACAAUAAUUGUAUUAUAUUAUUCAUAUUACAAUUAUUGUAUUAUUGAUAUUUUAAAAUUAAGAUUAAGACAGAAAGAAUAAAUAAUUUUUAUAUUAUAAAAAUAAACAAAUAAUUAGGGCCUUAAAAAGUAUAAGCAUAAAUAAAUAAUGUCUAGGACAUUAAAAAGAGGAAGAAAAAUAAAUUAUUGAAGGGUAGUUUAGGAAUAAUAUCAAAUUUAAGAUGGAGAAGUGAAAUUUUUGUCAUAUUUGCAAAAUUCUAAAACAAUAUGUUAUAAUUGCUAUAUCAUAUUAUCAAAAUGUUAUCCUAUGCAAUUUCUCUAACAACUUUAUAUAAAUAGUGUAUUUUUUCUAUAAUUAUGCAUAUAACAAUUAUUUCAUAAGCGGAUUGACCAUAUUAGUAAUAAUAAAUUGUUAAGCAUUAUAAUGGCAAUGCAAUCCUUUUAGGGGAAUAAGACGAUGAAAUUUUCAUUAAACUAAUGAUACACACGUUAAAUCCAUCGAGAUUAGGGAAAUAAAAUCCUUUUAUGGAAUUAUCGCUAAAUGAAGUAUAUUUUCCAUAGACAUUAUUUAUUAUCAUUUAAAAAUUGAUUUUAAAGUUUGAUUUAAAACCACAAAAACACUAAAAAAUAUUAUUCAAAUGUCAAUAUUCCAAAAAAGUCGUGAGAAUAAUAUGAUUUUUAUCUGAAAUUAUUUAAUUAUAUCAAUUUUCCUACGUAGUUUUUUAAUCUGACUUUUAUUUUGAGGUACAACAAUAUUCGAAUGAAUUUGUUUUCAAUUUUGGAAUUCUUUCACGGCAGCUGUCAAUUUUAUUGUUCGCAUUUAUCGUACGCCUGUUUUGAAAUUCUUUUAGAACAGCUGUGGACUGUCUUAGAAUUUCUUUACUUUAUCCUCUACCGUUUCUUAUAAUGACAAUGCAACAUGUGAAGACUUUUUUUUUAUGGUAGAUGGAUAGAAUCUUCUCCAUAUAUUGAUUACCGUGUGGUUGAUGUAUUUGUUCCAUGCUCAUCUUCAUUUCAAGAAUUCUUACAGUUAGGUCCAACCACACACAUCAUUUGACAUCCGAUGCAAAGAUUUGUCAUGUUCAUGGUAUUUACGUGCCUCUGUGUUAAAAAAAAGUGAUAUUUGAAUUGUUCGUAAGUUUACGGAUACACACUUGUGUGUCGUUGACAUUGUUAAAAAUGAUCACAGGCAAGCAACAUCUUGAAUUGUUUCUGAGUGUACAAAGUCAUUUUUUAAAAUGAAUGACAAGGCUCCAUGUUGUCCUUUUGAUGUUAUUAAUUACAUGAAGAUUAAUCAUGUGGUAAAUGUAAGUUAUGAUAAGGCUUGGAGAGGAUGUGAGAUUGCACUAAAUUCCAUUAGGGGUACCCCGGAGGACUCUUAUGCAAUGUUGGCAGCAUUCACGGGUGCAUCGAUUAGAAACAACCCAGAUAUAAUAUAUAUAUCAAAUACUAUGUAUUCUCUAUUAAGUAUUUUACUCAUUAUGGAAAUGCACAUUCUAAUAUCUUGUUUACAUAAUUACUAGGAACGUAUACAACUGAAGAAUCAAACAAUGAAGGUCGAUUCAAGUUCCAUUUCAUGGCCCUUGCAGCUUCAAUUGAUGCAUGGAAUUAUUGUGUGCCAAUUAUUUUAGUUGAUGGUGCAACGUUGAAGAACAAAUAUUUUGGUAAAUGUAAGGUCAAAUAUUUUGGUACGUUGAAGAAAAUUCUCAAAUUGUGCCUCUAGCUUUUGUUGUGGUUGAUUCAGAGAAUUAAUAACGGUGUUAAUAAGAGUGGCCUAUUAAAUGUAGUCUUAACUAGUAACGGUGUUAAUAAGAGAGACUAUUCAUUUCGUGGUCCGAUCUUAUACAAACUCUUUGUAUAAAAUACCCCUGCUGUAAUGUCUCGACAUGAAUGAUUAUGAUCAAAUCAUUUGUAGCACUUUACAACAAUUGUAACAACUACAAAGCAGACCGUAUUCGUAGUGUCACCAGAAUAAGGUAUUCAGCCUUAUCCAUCUACUACAGACCAUUUAGGUUAUCAUUUAAACAUGAUCCACUUGUAUGUCUCCACACACUUUAUUUUAUUAGAUAAAUAAAAUGCUUGUAUAAUAUAUACAAUUACAAACUAUAAAAUCAGAAGAUUUAGAGCAUCAAUCCCAACAUUUUACACGUCAAGUAAUCCAGUGUCAAGAAUAAGAGGAUUUUUGUUUGACAGUUUUUACGCGUCAAGUAAAAUUAUGCUUGACAGUUUAUAAACGUCAAGAAUAUGUUUAUUCUUGACACAUUUUGCAUGUUAAGUUUUUUUUUUCUUUCAAAUGAAAAAUUGUACAAUUUAAAAUAUUCAUAUAAUUAUAUUAAACAUGUUUUGAAGUUCAUUCACACACAUAUAAGUAGUGCCUUUGAGAUUACACAAAGUUGCUAAACUACGCAUAUUAAAUUAAACAAUUAAAUCAGUCAAAACUUUCCAUCAAAGAACUAAUAACUUUAACAAAUUGCAUAUAUCAUUGAACCAUACAUAUAAUACUUAGUCAUUACAUAAUUAAUUACAAUACCCUAAACUUCUACCAUAUGAACAUAUUGUUCUACAUAACUCUAUGUCUAAUAUGAAAAUUUUUAAAGUUUGUAAAAUGUAAAUAUAAGAAAAAGCUAACAUUUCGUCAAUGCUCUAGAUUCUUUUACCUAUAAUUGUACAAAUAUUACAAAGUGUAUGAUAAUGUAUAUACAUUAAAACGUUGGUUGUUUGUUUUCAUAUGCGUGUGUUGCAUAGUACUUUGUGAUUGAACUAGUCUGUGUAAUGGUAGAGCAACAAGAAAAAUAUGACAAGAAAAAAAAAUGUAGAAUAGAGGACAUUUGCUUUUUUUAAAACAAAAAAUUGUCAAGAUAAAGGCAUUCUUGACAGUUAAUUAUAAUCAUGCUAGGUGUUUUAUUGACAUUUAAUAAUUGUCAUGAUUGACAUAUUCUUGACAGAAAAAAUGUCAAAAUAUAUGAAUUCAUAACAGAUAUAUCAAUAUGCAAUAAUGACAGAUAAUUACUGUAAUUUGUGUUAAUUGAUGACAAUUAUUUAUUGUCAUAAAAAAUAUAUAAUAACAACAUUUACUAUUUGUAAUAAUAGUGGAUAUGUGACAUUUAUUUUCUGUCAUGAAAACACUUAUUGUGACAGUUUUUCAAACGGUCAUAGAUAGUCUUUCUUUGACAGACUAUACAAUGACAUUGAAAAAAACUGUCAAAAAUCUUAACUAUGACAAACUUUAACUAUCGUUGUAGGCCAUUUUUCUUGUGGGUGAAAAGUUCUCACUUAUCUUUAUAAUACUGAUUUUGUGUUAAAAUAGAAUUAGUUGACGAUGGAAAUCACGUAUGAAAUGACAUAAUUAUAAAACAUGGGUAAUGUGUCCUGAUACAAGAAAAUUUUGUUAACAUAUUGUUAUUGUUCAAAUGUUUUCUUUAACAAUAAAAGUGUCAUGGCUUAGAUAUUCUUCACAAAUAAAAGAUGUCAUUAUAUAUAUACCUUUUGAUAUUUUAUUGUUGCCAUCAAUGACCAUACUGCUACAACAGAUAGCCAAUUUUCUGAUUAUCACAAUGAUUUCACAUGUCAAAGGAUACGUGACAGGAACAAUUUCUAAACAUCAGGUUAAUUUCAUUGUCUAUGGUAGAUUAUUGUCAUCUAAGAAGAUAUUAUAACAAUUUUUUCCAAUGUCAGUUGAUGAUCAUAUAUCUUUCCAAGGGAUACCAAAAAUGCAAAAUAAUUUUCAUGAAUACUUCUUGUGAUAGUUUUUAGAUGCAGGAACAUCCCAAUUUUGUUGGAGGGUUUGUGGUUUCUUUCAAUUAUCAUCUUCUUCCUAAAUGAAUAAUGUUUCAACUAAAAUAAUUGAGAAAAACUGAAAUGAAAAAUAGAAAAAGUAGACGACGUUAAUAAACUUUUAAUAGUAGGGAGAUGAUAUUGAGGUGUGAAAUUACACAUGUAACCAAGACCAUAGGUUAACUAAAUUUAACAUCCUUUCAUCUACCAUGUAGCUAAUAAAAAAAUUUCCAAAUUUCCAAAUUUCCCUUCAAAUUUCACCAAGUUUCAAGAUUUAUCCAAAUUUUAUGUAAAAAAAUAAAAGAAAUGUCCAAAAUUCAUUGAAAUUGAAAUUUUCAUUUUAUCGUAGUUAUAACUACAUGUUCAAAAAGAAAAUUGCAUCAAAUGACAAAAACAUCUAGAAAAAACAGCCCAUUACACCUUUUGUUUUUCUUUUUUGCAUAUUGUGAAUUUGACAAGUAAUUAGUGAUAUUAGACGACUAUUCGAACGUUAUCAAAGGGUUAUCAAAAAGCUAUCGGACUGUUAUUAAAGGACUAUCAGUUUUAAAUUUGCUACUUUUACAAUUUGGAAAAUGUAGUGACACGAGUCUUAUUAUCAUAAUUUCUUUUGCUAUUUUUAUAAGUGCCCUUACAAAGUGAAGUACAUGUAUAUAUGCGGGACAAGAUUAGAGAACAUGAAAGGGAAAGAGACCUAAUUGAGAGAGACAAGAAACAAAGGUAAGUAUCAUAAUUCUAUUUUAUUUAUAUAUAUAUAUAUAUGUAGGUAUAUAUAUAUAGGUAUAUAUAUAUAGGUAUAUAUAUAUGUGGUUGUAUAUUGUUAAGUAGCAGCUAGUUUAGUGUUGUAAAUGCUCAGGAAGAACAGGUCCAAAUUCCAUGAGUUGUAACGCUGCCCGUUGAUUGUAAAAUACUAUAGCUGUAUAAGUCCAAAGAAAUCCACCAGAGUUUAUAGCUUCCAACACAAGCGUGAAACAUAUUUGACCGAACCUUCGUCCCUGUUCCAACCCAUUUAUUGCCCUCUGGAACUGCAGUUUGUCACCUGUAAUUUCAUUAUGCCUUUCUGUUGCAAACCUUGCAUAUCCUUGAAUUUCUGCAGAAUCAAUAUCCUUAAUUGGCACUGGAGGAACAUCAAAAUUCCUAGAACACAUUGCUAACACCUUUCCACGACAGAUAUGUAUACUUUGGAACAGACUAUGUUUAAUUGCUUUUGAAUAUAAUAUGCAUGGGAACGGGUUCCAUAUUUAUAGUGUUGGCGUUCAAUGUUCUACCAAUUGAUGUCAUCGAAUCUAAUUUUUAUGAAGUAAAUGAAGGAAUAGUAGCUAGCGAGAAGGUGUUUAGAGAAGAUAGCUUCGAAUCAAUUCCUUUUGAUAAUUAUAUUGAGCUUCCUAUUCAUUCCUUAAACUAACUCUCAAAUUUUGGCUUUUCCUUUGCAUUCUCAUCACUUU
This 10446-nucleotide long non-coding RNA is filed under the name Cucumis sativus (cucumber). The record is from RNAcentral. Lineage: Eukaryota; Viridiplantae; Streptophyta; Magnoliopsida; Cucurbitales; Cucurbitaceae.